Ornithodoros turicata is the source of this 1105-nucleotide long non-coding RNA. RefSeq lists it as uncharacterized. The record is from RefSeq and is a predicted model, not a curated record. The transcript is spliced from 3 exons. Lineage: Eukaryota; Metazoa; Arthropoda; Arachnida; Ixodida; Argasidae.
AAAAGCAUGCAAAGUUUUGGUAAGCAAAGAAGUUUUCGUUCUUCUGAGCUGGGAAUUUUCUGGAACAAUGCAGAAAUAUUUUGGACUGUGCCAAGCAGGUCAUCGUCCAGUCCAAAUGUGGCAGUCAUCGAAAAAGCCAGACAGCAUCGAGAUUUGAACCACGCAUCCCUCGGUUACCGGUCGUGCGCCUUGACCAAUUCGACAACGGUGGCAUCUGAUCUGCUCUCCGAUGACUUGCCAAGUCCGCCUUGGUCUGCCUCUUGAUCUGCGUCUUCCAGUCAUUUCUGCAUGGCAUUUCGGGCCUCUUGGAGUGUCACCACACGUGCUUCUUCAGUGUCGUCAUCUGAUCCACGGCUGUCGUCAUUGCAACUGACCAUAUAUCAAGGACGCAUGGAGCAACGGCGUCUUCAUCAGAAAUAAUGGCACACCUCAUAGUUGUCCGCAUCGAGGUAUACUCGAAAUCUGCUGCCGGAUCUUUUUACUGACUUUCGGACUGAAGGUUAUUCCUUGCUCUGCGGCUUCAAAUGACUGGACUGGUCAUCACACCGCAUGCGCAUAGAUACAAUGGGAAAGGCGAAAUCGUUGAAGCAGAGUGUAAAGUCUUUCACUCUACCCUCAAGGUUGUCGCCCCUGCUGGCGCAAAUGUAUAGGUCGCACACUGACCCGGGCCUAAGACCGGAUCAGUGGGACAAGUUGCUGGGUAUUUUCCUAUAGUGGUUCCUGGAAAUUUUUGUCCGGAUCCGGAAGCUGAAGCCCGGAUAAAUGAAGCUAAAAUACAUCGAUUGGAAUCUAUCUACACGAUUUUUGUCCCGAUAGCGCGGGAUCCGGAUUACGGUAGUGAAGCCUGGAUAAACACGGGUCGACUUUAUAACGUUAUGUUGAAGAAGGAGAUGUUAGUUACGUUACUGUGGUUCGCGGGAGUCAUUAGAGCUUGAGUUUCAGUGCAUCGUAUGUGAAGGCGAUAGCGUACGAUGAACUAAAAUCCUCUAUUGAUGCGAGGGGUACAAACCACGACGAGGCCCAUUUUUGUAGUGUUUGAUGAAAUUAUUGUUAUUUAUCGUAAUGCGUUAUGAUUGCUAGUCACAGUUUUGGUAAGUAAUACAUU